CAGCAACAGAAUUCUUCUCUGUAUAUGUGGCCAACUUCACAGCUAGGGGAUUUGCCGCAUCAAAUCACAGCAACUUGUAAUGAGAGCUGCAGGAGGAUGAAAGGAGGCCUUCUGACCAAGCUUAUGUACCCAACGUCUUCAAUUCCGCUCACUUUGUUGAGACUGCCCGGAUGGUAGCGCUUUCCUUUCUUUGAGCCAAUGUUAUGUGCUUGGGACAGGGCUCGUGUGAUUGGGCGAUUAGGUACAAGGAGUUGGUAUGUAGUUUUCUUCUUACGGCCACCUAUGGCUGCAGUAAUAUUUAGAAGGCUCGAUGGGAUAACAAUUAGACGAUAAAGGUUGCCUCGAGGGAACCCAAAACCUCCAAGUUAGACAAGCUAACAGUAAGGGAUAAUAUCUGAUAUUUCAUUAAUGAAAAGUCACUGAAAUUUAUACAAAC
This 436-nucleotide long non-coding RNA is filed under the name Prunus dulcis (almond). RNAcentral describes it as "sRNA ncRNA". The record is from RNAcentral. Lineage: Eukaryota; Viridiplantae; Streptophyta; Magnoliopsida; Rosales; Rosaceae.